RNAcentral lists this ribosomal RNA (443 nucleotides) under uncultured bacterium. RNAcentral describes it as "partial 16S ribosomal RNA". It matches the Rfam family "Bacterial small subunit ribosomal RNA", at positions 338 to 795 of the family's 1533-position model. The record is from RNAcentral.
CCUACGGGAGGCAGCAGUGGGGAAUAUUGGGCAAUGGGCGCAAGCCUGACCCAGCAACGCCGCGUGAAGGAAGAAGGCUUUCGGGUUGUAAACUUCUUUUAUUGAGGACGAAACAAAUGACGGUACUCACUGAAAAAGCCACGGCUAACUACGUGCCAGCAGCCGCGGUAAUACGUAGGUGGCAAGCGUUAUCCGGAUUUACUGGGUGUAAAGGGCGUGUAGGCGGGACUGCAAGUCAGAUGUGAAACCAAUGGGCUCAACCCAUGGACUGCAUUUGAAACUGUAGUUCUUGAGUGAUGUAGAGGUAGGCGGAAUGCGGUGUGUAGCGGUGAAAUGCGUAGAUAUACGGAAGAACACCAGUGGCGAAGGCAGCCUGCUGGACAUUAACUGACGCUGAGGCGCGAAAGCGUGGGGAGCAAACAGGAUUAGAUACUCUUGUAGUC